AUGAUUGCCGGGAACUCCGUGAUCAGGAAGGCGGAGACCCCAGGAGGAGGCCCUUCCAUUGCACUUCGGAAGGGCUGAGACCUGCCACUCUCCCAAACUGGGAAAGAUGGGGCAUGUAAUUUUUGGUAGAGGGGGUAACUAGCGCACACCAU
Molecule: small nuclear RNA, 152 nt
Filed under: Tropilaelaps mercedesae
Lineage: Eukaryota; Metazoa; Arthropoda; Arachnida; Mesostigmata; Laelapidae
Description: U1 spliceosomal RNA
Rfam family: U1 spliceosomal RNA
About the family: U1 is a small nuclear RNA (snRNA) component of the spliceosome (involved in pre-mRNA splicing).
Source: Rfam by way of RNAcentral